GAUGGUCCUGCUUUGAGCACGAGGUUGGACUAGAUGACCUCCUGAAGUUCCUUCCCACCCUAAUUGUCUAUUUAUAGAUUCUGUGAUUCUAAUACCCAGACAUUACAGUGAUCUGGAUAAUAAAACUUCAUUGGAAAAAACAGUUUCCACCACUCCUGAUGGGUGCUUAACAGCUGAAUUCUUUUGCUGCAACUGAAUAAUUUCCUACUCUGAGGUGGUAAAUAAAGAUACCUCAGUAUAGCCAUCUGUAUGGAACUUGGGAGGAGGAGCACAGAUUUUAGGUGGGAAAUAUUUGGAAGAGCUGCAGGAAGUCAGUUUGUGUGCACAAGGCUUGAACAUGAACUGCAGUUUCAUUCUUUUUUUUCAGAAUAGUUUUCUUAUUAAAGAACCAGUUUAGUUUUAAAGACAGCUCUCAUGUGACUACCCACCACAGUGUACAGGAAACAUGGUGGCAGCAAUAAGGCCAGUGAGACUCACACUGCGGAAGAACGUGAUAUUCACAAAAUUAUUCCCAGACAAGAAACAGUGCUGUCAUCCUUCAGGGUCUCAGGUUUCCAGGAAUGCUGGUUUUCCAGAAAUAAAACUUGUACAAGCAUGGAAGUAGUGCAAAAAAGAGACCUUACCAGGGGAGAUAAAAAUGAAGGUAAUGUCUUUUUUCUAUCUCCCUGGGGGAAAAAGGAUGAGAAAUGAGUGAGACAGUUGCCAGGAAUAUUGCCUGAAACAGGAAAAUCUGAUAACGGUGUUUGAUGAAUAUCAUGACCCCAAAUGUGACCCUUGACAGAAUGAGAUUGUGGAGAGAGAGUUUUUCCGUUUUUUUAAAGAACUCAAAACCAAGAAACAGAAAUGGAAAUAGAUAUCUGUUCCAUUGCUGAGAAAUCUGGCAUUCACAUGAAACUCUGGACACUUUAAAGAUUCCUUGAUUAAUGAUGGUAUUAUUAGUGGGACACACAAUUCCCCCUUGCAGGAAAAACUAUUGAGAGAAAUAGAUCUAACUGUAGAGAUUGCCUCCAAGAACAAGAGCAGCUGAUCUGUCCAGGGAAAGGAACAAAAUAAUAAUAGCCAGUAGUGCAGAACAAAUGCACAGGCUCAAUUUAAAGGAGCCCAGGAAACAGAAUAGAAGAGAGAGAGAUUGACAUUGUGGUCUAGUGUGACUACAGUUUAAAGCAGCAUAAAAAGCUGAAAGAAAAGUGCCCAAUCUAUGGGCCAUGGUGUAAAGGGUGUGGGAAAUAGAACUAUUUUAUGUUCCAAUGCUGCAGCUACCCUUGAAAGAAAAAUCAAACAUACGUGCAACUGACAGAAGACAUAGAGCCUUUACGUGAAGAGGAGGGUGCUUGUCGUGUGACUUAGCUGAUCCCAAGGCUGUAAAAUAUAAAAGCACUGCAGAGAAAGGCUAUCAAAGGAUCAGCUGCCAUUUUUGCAUCUAUGAUGUUGGACCAACAACCAGUUCAGUUCCAGCAGGAUUGUAGUCCCAGCAGCACUGACCAUUAGCAACAUUAGUUGCUAAUUUUUGUGUAUUUAUGGCAGAUGUAUGGUAAAACCAUUCUGAGGCCUGUGAGCAAAUACAGUUUGUUGAUCAGAAACCCACAGAAUAAGUGAUGUUAUUGCUUGGGGCAGGGCCAGCCAUGGGUUUGAUUCCAGUGUAUCGCUGAAUAUCCUUAGUAUAAGAAAGGGGGGAAAACUGGCCAGCAGGACUGAUAUAAAAUAUAAGCACAUACUUCAGAGAUAUGGAUAAAUAGAGCAUAAGCUGAAAUUUGACAUAGACUCCAGCGUGUAGGCUGAGAGACAAGUGAGUUGUACUAGGAUAUUUCUAUAGUGUUUCUGCAACACUCUUGAGUGACUACCAAGCAUGCUGCACCCAUCCUCUCCCUCUCCAUAUGUGGAAUUGAAAAAGUAAAGCUAUUCACAGUUCUCAAGCAUGUUGCAGAUGAGAGAGCUGAAGACUUACACUUUGGCAGUGCCCCCCCAGGGUAGUUUCUCUGCCUAAUUUCUGAGUUUGGCAUAUGGAGAGUGGGAGUACGUAGGUGAAGGCAUGCCUUUCGGAAGCAGUUUAAACAUCAGUUGAGAAUUUGAGCCCAAGAUGGAGUUCAGCUUGAGUGACAUGCUGUCUCUUUGGACCUAUGGUGGACCUGACAGCAAAGCAUGCUGGGAUGCUGGAGGACUGUGCUGCAGCUUUUCUCAGAAGAUAUGUAUACUGAAGUUCUCUCUCCCAGGAAAAACUCUCCUGGGAGCCAUUUAACCCUGAUUGUUCCCACGUUAUUGGGAAUCACUAGACCAGUGAUUCUCAACCACAGUUAUGUCAGAUUCUUUGAAGGGUGAUGUGAGGCAUGAAGAAAAUAAGCAGACAAGUUAAGCAGACAAGGCAGGAUCAGGCUUAUCCCUGACUGAGCUAUUUCCAUCCCAGCCUCCAAGUAAGGAGGUAAGCAUUGUAAUUUAUAAGUUAGUUUUUGAAAUUGGGUGCCACUUAAGUCACAAAAUGUAUGGAAUGGUGUCUCAAGUCCAAUGGGGGGUGCCUUGUGUCCAAAAAGUUUGAGAACCACUGAUUUAGACUUUAUAAGUAGACUUGGAGUGAUGUUGUAGCUCUGGUGGUCUGGGAAAUAUACAAGAGGAAGGAUUUUUUUGGUGAUAUCUUUUAUCUGACCAACCUUGUAGCAAUUUCUCCCAGCUUUAUAUUUGGUCCAGGAAAAGAUAUCACCAAAAAAUCCCAUCUCUCUCAGAAUUUUCUAUGAAUUUUCUUUAAAGUAAAAUUGAAGCUGUUUGUUGAAUAAAAUGGAAGGGCAGCUAUGCGGUAUCAGUAUCAGUCUACUCGUGGACAAAUUUAGUAUAGUACUUUAUUUACUGAGAUUUAUACUACAAUCUCUGUUCCAAAAUACUGCCCAUCAAUCUAUGCUAGAGCUAGAAUUAUUUAAUAUAUUAAUGAUCUGUAAAGAGAUGAGGUAGUUAUGCAAUUGUACAUGAUUUAGCUUGUCACACAUAGAAAUAGUAUAAGGAAAUUCAGAAGGACAUAAAAAUGUAUGCAUAUUAGAGGAAAUUAUUUGAACUAUUCAUGUACAGUGAGAAGUUAAGAGUAGUUGAGAAAAAUGACUUGUUCUUCACCACCAGCAACACAAUGCAAAUAUGUACUCAAGGUAGAGAAGGAGUCCAAAAAAGUAAAUCUGAAAUUAAAAAAGUAUACUGAGUAUAAUACUGAAUAUGGGGAGCAGCAUAGUGGGAAUUGUCUACCUUAUCCAAGCCAAUAGCUGCCACGCACCCUAUGCUUUUGUCCCUUUUCUUCUGGCCCCACAUAUCUCACACAUGUGGUCCCCUCAUGCCAGCCAGGUAAGCCAACUUAAAAAGAAGUAGAGAAGGAUCUAUAUGUUCGCUGACUUAUGAUGCAGUGUUUAGAAUGCUGUACUGGGAAGUCAAAGAGACUCGGGUUCAGACUCCCUCUGGGUAGGUGGAGAGACCCUAGAACCAGGUCCUCCAGGAAUCCAGAUAAAUACCUUAGCUACUCUUGCAAGGAGACAAUGGGAAGCAGGAACCUGGUGCUAGCAAUGAUCUGCUCUACAGUUCAGCAUUUCUCUUCGGUGUUUGAUAGCAUCUCAGUCCAGGGUACAAAAAAUGCUAGAAGUGGCUCUGAUGGGAAGUCUCUCUUCUUUCUGAGUUUAAGUCUUCAUAAUCAUGGGCUUUGGUCAACUCCAGUUUGAAGCAUUUAAGGCCACUUUAUGUCCACAAGGGGCCUAUAGAUGUAUCCUAGGUGCUACAGUGCAUGCCCAGUCUCCAUGCUCAUGUAGUCAUCCAUGCACACAGAGCUACGUGUUCAGAAAUAGAGUUCUAGGUGCAUAAGUACCAAAAAUGCCAUGUCAAUGAAUAAAAAAUGGCCACUUAGGUGACCAGGAAGGGAACUGAAUAUCAGAACGAGCAAUUUGCUCAAGUCACACAACAAGUCUCAGGCAGGAAACCAAAACCUCAUUUCCCAAAUUCUAGAUGAGCACUCUUUCCACUAAUUAUUAUUAUUUAUAUAAAUAAUAAAUAUAACAUCCUCAGUAACACUAGCUAAGAUUACAGAUAUUUAAGGGGUAUCCAUUAUCAUGUUUCUGGACAUAAGCCAAACACUCACUGUUGGAGGAAAAGGGUACCAAAUGCCAGAUUGAGUAGACUAUUAGUUUGACAUGGCAUGACAGUUCCUAAGUGAGAAAUAAGCUUGUAAAGAAUUUAUCAGCAAGGAACUGGAAGAGUGAAUGAAAAUUCAGGCUUUAUAUGUUGAUCAUUGUGUUCAGACUAUUUUCAGUGGUAGUGAUUUUAAAAGGUGUUUUAUUGGAUACAAACUUCUUGCUAUAAUGCUCAGAACAUGAUUUUUUUUAUUUGUCUUGCAUUUUCUUUUUGCUUAAUUUUGGAAAUCUUAGAAUGUGAAGUUGGUAAAAAAAAAAAAAAAGUCAAAGGGAUUAAAUUUCUGUGUGUUGGUUUAGGAUAAAAGCAUCUUGCUUUAUGGGGCUAUAUUAUGAUGUGAUGACGGAUAAUUACCCUGCUUGCAGGAAACAAUAAAUAUACUACUAUAUGGUUGAGUUAA
This is a long non-coding RNA of Gavialis gangeticus (Gharial), 4546 nucleotides long. RefSeq lists it as uncharacterized. The transcript has 2 exons. The record is from RefSeq and is a predicted model, not a curated record. Lineage: Eukaryota; Metazoa; Chordata; Crocodylia; Gavialidae.